RNAcentral lists this ribosomal RNA (301 nucleotides) under uncultured bacterium. RNAcentral describes it as "partial 16S ribosomal RNA". It matches the Rfam family "Bacterial small subunit ribosomal RNA", at positions 509 to 807 of the family's 1533-position model. The record is from RNAcentral.
CAGCAGCCACGGUAAUACGAAGGGGGCUAGCGUUGCUCGGAAUCACUGGGCGUAAAGGGUGCGUAGGCGGGUCUUUAAGUCAGGGGUGAAAUCCUGGAGCUCAACUCCAGAACUGCCUUUGAUACUGAAGAUCUUGAGUUCGGGAGAGGUGAGUGGAACUGCGAGUGUAGAGGUGAAAUUCGUAGAUAUUCGCAAGAACACCAGUGGCGAAGGCGGCUCACUGGCCCGAUACUGACGCUGAGGCACGAAAGCGUGGGGAGCAAACAGGAUUAGAUACCCCAGUAGUCCCUGUCUCUUAUAC